GGGGGGGGGGGGGGGGGGGGGGGGGGGGGGGAGGGGGGGGGGGAGGGGCGGGGUCGGGGGGGACGCGAGGGGCGAAGGGGGGAGUAACACGGGAGUGCCGUGCCCUGUACGUUGGGAUAACGGCAGGCAACGGGGGCUAAUACCGGAGCGGAGCCCCUGCUGCAUGGAGUGGGUUGGAAAGUUUCGGCGGGUGGGGCUGGACUCGCGGCCUAUCAGCUUGUCGGUGGGGCAGUGGCUUACCCAGGCUUUGACGGGUAGGCGGCCUGGGAGGGUGAGCGGCCACAUUGGGACUGAGAUACGGCCCAGAGUCCGACGGGAGGCAGUAGUGGGGAAGAUUGCACAAUGGGUGGAAGCCUGAUGCAGCAACGCCGUGGGCGGGAUGACGGCGUUCGGGUUGUAAAACGCUUUCGCUCAUGACGAAGCUUUGUGUGACGGUAGUGGGUAAAGAAGCACCGGCUAACUACGUG
This 467-nucleotide ribosomal RNA is filed under the name uncultured bacterium. RNAcentral's name for it is "partial 16S ribosomal RNA". The stretch from base 54 to 467 matches the Rfam family "Bacterial small subunit ribosomal RNA", at positions 39 to 507 of the family's 1533-position model. The record is from RNAcentral.